RNAcentral lists this long non-coding RNA (547 nucleotides) under Salvia miltiorrhiza (redroot sage). RNAcentral describes it as "long non-coding RNA (SMIL_LNC002605)". Lineage: Eukaryota; Viridiplantae; Streptophyta; Magnoliopsida; Lamiales; Lamiaceae. The record is from RNAcentral.
UGAUUACUUAAUGAAUUUAGAUGUUUAUUUUCCACCAUUGAUGUUUCUAUGGAGAUGUAAGUUUUUUAGAAAUGUGUUUUUAUAGCAGUUGCAAGAAUUGCUUAAUUUUAUCAUGUCUCAUUUUUUUGUUUAUUUCUGUGCAGCUGUAUAUUUCUCAACCCCAACUGGACUCAGCUUCAGGAGGUAUUCUUCACUCUGCGGUCGCGAGCAGCUCAACAGUUAUAUAGUUGAAGGAUAAGAUACAAGAUUAUAGAGCUUAUAGAGAGGUGCUGGUUUUAGAAGGCAACGGAAGCCCUAGUUUUUUUUUUUUUGAGUUGGGCUCAAAACAUUAUGUAUGAAUGUUUUGUGAUAUAUAUAAUAUAUGUUAUUGAUGGUUUUAUCAUUUUGUUGUUUUAAGUUUAUUUAUUCAUUUUUUUAGAUAAAUAACAGAAAAAUUGAGAAAAAGUAUUAAAAAUAUGCUAAAAGCUAUAGUUGGCAUACAUAACGGUAAAGAACUGUUAUGUAUUAUGACAAAGAUAACGGUUAAAACCGUUAUGUAUAAUACUAU